UACGGGGGGGGCAAGCGUUGUUCGGAAUUACUGGGCGUAAAGGGCUCGUAGGCGGCCAACUAAGUCAGACGUGAAAUCCCUCGGCUUAACCGGGGAACUGCGUCUGAUACUGGAUGGCUUGAGUUUGGGAGAGGGAUGCGGAAUUCCAGGUGUAGCGGUGAAAUGCGUAGAUAUCUGGAGGAGCACCGGUGGCGAAGGCGGCAUCCUGGACCAACACUGACGCUGAGUGAGCGAAAGCCAGGGGAGCAAACGGG
RNAcentral lists this ribosomal RNA (254 nucleotides) under uncultured bacterium. RNAcentral describes it as "partial 16S ribosomal RNA". It matches the Rfam family "Bacterial small subunit ribosomal RNA", at positions 524 to 776 of the family's 1533-position model. The record is from RNAcentral.